This 336-nucleotide ribosomal RNA is filed under the name uncultured bacterium. Its description in RNAcentral is "bacterial SSU rRNA". It matches the Rfam family "Bacterial small subunit ribosomal RNA", at positions 72 to 422 of the family's 1533-position model. The record is from RNAcentral.
AAGUGGAGCAAUCCAUGAGUAAAGUGGCGCACGGGUGAGUAACACGUGACUAACCUACCCUUGAGUGGGGGAUAACUGAGGGAAACCUUAGCUAAUACCGCAUAAUACCCACGGGUCAAAGGAGCAAUUCGCUCGAGGAGGGGGUCGCGGCCGAUUAGUUAGUUGGCGGGGUAACGGCCCACCAAGACGAUGAUCGGUAUCCGGCCUGAGAGGGCGCACGGACACACUGGAACUGAAACACGGUCCAGACUCCUACGGGAGGCAGCAGUGGGGAAUUUUGCGCAAUGGGGGAAACCCUGACGCAGCAACGCCGCGUGGAGGAUGAAGUCCUUCGGG